ACUCCUACGGGAGGCAGCAGUGGGGAAUAUUGGACAAUGGGGAACCCGUAGCAUCCAGCCAUGCCGCGUGUGUGAAGAAGGCCUUCGGGUUGUAAAGCACUUUCAGUGGGGAGGAAAGGUUGAUGGUUAAUACCUAUCAGCUGUGACGUUACCCACAGAAGAAGCACCGGCUAACUCCGUGCCAGCAGCCGCGGUAAUACGGAGGGUGCAAGCGUUAAUCGGAAUUACUGGGCGUAAAGCGUGCGCAGGCGGUCUGUUAAGCGAGAUGUGAAAG
Molecule: ribosomal RNA, 274 nt
Filed under: uncultured bacterium
Lineage: Bacteria
Description: partial 16S ribosomal RNA
Rfam family: Bacterial small subunit ribosomal RNA
Source: RNAcentral